ACAAACUUGGUCAUUUAGAGGAAGUAAAAGUCGUAACAAGGUUUCCGUAGGUGAACCUGCGGAAGGAUCAUUAAAGAGUUGGGGUCCCUCGGGGCCCGAUCUCCCGCCCUUUGUCGUUGCGAGUAAUUGUUGCUUUGGCGUGGCCCGCGAACCCCCCGCCAGGGGGGCGAGCGACCGGGCUCCGGCCCGGGCAGCGCCCGCCAGAGGUUUUACGCACAAACUCUUCAGUCGAAACACUGCAGUCCGAGCAUACAAGUCUAAUAAAUCAAAACUUUCAACAACGGAUCUCUUGGUUCUGGCAUCGAUGAAGAACGCAGC
RNAcentral lists this unclassified non-coding RNA (318 nucleotides) under uncultured fungus. RNAcentral describes it as "partial contains small subunit ribosomal RNA, internal transcribed spacer 1, and 5.8S ribosomal RNA". The stretch from base 1 to 73 matches the Rfam family "Eukaryotic small subunit ribosomal RNA", at positions 1759 to 1831 of the family's 1831-position model. The record is from RNAcentral. Lineage: Eukaryota; Fungi.